GACGAACGCUGGCGGCGUGCUUAACACAUGCAAGUCGAGCGGUAAGGCCCUUUCGGGGGGUACACGAGCGGCGAACGGGUGAGUAACACGUGGGUGACCUGCCCUCAGCUCUGGGAUAAGCCUGGGAAACCGGUCUAAUACCGGAUAUGACUCCAUGACGCAUGUUGUGGGGUGGAAAGCCUUGUGCGGCUGAGGAUGGGCCCGCGGCCUAUCAGCUUGGUUGGUGGGGUGANGGCCUACCAAGGCGACGACAGGUAGCCGGCCUGAGAGGGCGACCGGCCACACUGGGACUGAGACACGGCCCAGACUCCUACGGGAGGCGAGCAGUGGGGAAUCUUGCGCAAUGGGCGAAAGCCUGACGCAGCGACGCCGCGUGAGGGAUGACGGCCUC
This 391-nucleotide ribosomal RNA is filed under the name uncultured bacterium. RNAcentral describes it as "bacterial SSU rRNA". It matches the Rfam family "Bacterial small subunit ribosomal RNA", at positions 28 to 418 of the family's 1533-position model. The record is from RNAcentral.